This 77-nucleotide transfer RNA is filed under the name Bacteroidota bacterium. Its description in RNAcentral is "tRNA-Arg". It matches the Rfam family "tRNA". From Rfam's summary of the family: Transfer RNA (tRNA) molecules are approximately 80 nucleotides in length. Their secondary structure includes four short double-helical elements and three loops (D, anti-codon, and T loops). Lineage: Bacteria; Pseudomonadati; Bacteroidota. The record is from RNAcentral.
GGUCCGGUAGCUCAGCUGGAUAGAGCAACAGCCUUCUAAGCUGUGGGUCAAGAGUUCGAAUCUCUUCCGGAUCACCA